CAACCCUUAAGCCUAGCUUAGUGUUGGGAACUUACGAUUUAGUAAUUCCCUAAAAUCAGUGGCAGAGCUAGUUCAUCUCUCAGCGUAGUAAUUUUCUCUCGCUUUUGAUGGUGUUCUAUUUCUCGCCAGAAGCAUAUUUACUUCUAAU
RNAcentral lists this unclassified non-coding RNA (148 nucleotides) under uncultured Xylariales. RNAcentral's name for it is "sequence contains ITS2". Lineage: Eukaryota; Fungi; Ascomycota; Sordariomycetes; Xylariales. The record is from RNAcentral.